Molecule: non-coding RNA, 82 nt
Organism: Tricholoma furcatifolium
Lineage: Eukaryota; Fungi; Basidiomycota; Agaricomycetes; Agaricales; Tricholomataceae
Source: the annotation of a GenBank genome assembly
UCCCUCUUAGCUCAGUGGUAGAGCGCGUCACUAGUACCAUUCGGCUAUGACGAGGUCAGUCGUUCAAGUCGGCUAGAGGGAA